RNAcentral lists this transfer RNA (21 nucleotides) under Todiramphus chloris (collared kingfisher). RNAcentral's name for it is "partial tRNA-Arg". Lineage: Eukaryota; Metazoa; Chordata; Aves; Coraciiformes; Alcedinidae. The record is from RNAcentral. RNAcentral also lists the same sequence under 1 other name.
AAAGUUAGUCUAAUCAAGACA